UCCGGUGGUUAUAGCGAGGGGCAAAGCACCCGAUCCCAUUCCGAACUCGGUCGUGAAAACUCUCUGCGCCGAUGAUACUUUGUCUUAAGGCACGGGAAAGUAGGUCGCUGCCGGGC
RNAcentral lists this ribosomal RNA (116 nucleotides) under Alphaproteobacteria bacterium. The record is from RNAcentral. Lineage: Bacteria; Pseudomonadati; Pseudomonadota; Alphaproteobacteria.